RNAcentral lists this long non-coding RNA (224 nucleotides) under Ananas comosus (pineapple). RNAcentral describes it as "long non-coding RNA (ACOM_LNC012022)". The record is from RNAcentral. Lineage: Eukaryota; Viridiplantae; Streptophyta; Magnoliopsida; Poales; Bromeliaceae.
GUCAUGAAAAUGGAUUUGGAGCACUGUGGCACAUAACCGAAGACCUAUAAUUUUCGGUGCCGCGAUUUGACGAACGAUUGGUGAGUAUUAGCAAAAUCGGGCUGAACCGGGUUACGGAUGCCGUGGGAGGCCGAUUGCAAGUGUCGACAAGCAAUCGAAAAGCGAUUUGAGGUGGGUUGUGUUUACCGAAGCGACUAGGUCGCCUGUAUGUCUAAGAUGAGUAU